GACGAACGCUGGCGGCGUGCCUAAUACAUGCAAGUAGAACGCUGAAGAGAGGAGCUUGCUCUUCUUGGAUGAGUUGCGAACGGGUGAGUAACGCGUAGGUAACCUGCCUUGUAGCGGGGGAUAACUAUUGGAAACGAUAGCUAAUACCGCAUAACAAUGGAUGACACAUGUCAUUUAUUUGAAAGGGGCAAUUGCUCCACUACAAGAUGGACCUGCGUUGUAUUAGCUAGUAGGUGAGGUAAUGGCUCACCUAGGCGACGGUACAUAGCCGACCUGAGAGGGUGAUCGGCCACACUGGGACUGAGACACGGCCCAGACGCCUACGGGAGGCAGCAGGAGGGAAUCUUCGGCAAUGGGGGCAACCCUGACCGAGCAACGCCGCGGGAGUGAAGAAGGUUUUCGGAUCGUAAAGCUCUGUUGUAAGUCAAGAACGGGUGUGAGAGUGGAAAGUUCACACUGUGACGGUAGCUUACCAGAAAGGGACGGCUAACUACGUG
RNAcentral lists this ribosomal RNA (497 nucleotides) under uncultured bacterium. RNAcentral describes it as "partial 16S ribosomal RNA". It matches the Rfam family "Bacterial small subunit ribosomal RNA", at positions 28 to 507 of the family's 1533-position model. The record is from RNAcentral.